UACGGGGGGGGCAAGCGUUGUUCGGAAUUUCUGGGCGUAAAGGGUUCGUAGGUGGCUUGCUAAGUCAGACGUGAAAUCCCUCAGCUCAACUGGGGAACUGCGUCUGAGACUGGCGAGCUUGAGUGCAGGAGAGGAAUGCGGAAUUCCAGGUGUAGCGGUGAAAUGCGUAGAUAUCUGGAGGAACACCGGUGGCGAAGGCGGCGUUCUGGACGGAUACUGACGCUGAGACGCGAAAGCGUGGGGAGCAAACAGG
Molecule: ribosomal RNA, 253 nt
Filed under: uncultured bacterium
Lineage: Bacteria
Description: partial 16S ribosomal RNA
Rfam family: Bacterial small subunit ribosomal RNA
Source: RNAcentral